This 259-nucleotide ribosomal RNA is filed under the name uncultured archaeon. RNAcentral describes it as "partial 16S ribosomal RNA". It matches the Rfam family "Archaeal small subunit ribosomal RNA", at positions 748 to 1009 of the family's 1478-position model. The record is from RNAcentral.
CAGCCGUAAACUAUGCUCGCUAGGUGUCAGGCAUGGCGCGACCGUGUCUGGUGCCGCAGGGAAGCCGUGAAGCGAGCCACCUGGGAAGUACGGCCGCAAGGCUGAACUUAAGGAUUGGCGGGGGAGCACAACAACGGGUGGAGCCUGCGGUUUAAUUGGACUCAACGCCGGACAACUCACCGGGGGACGACAGCAAUAUGUAGGCCAGGCUGAAGACCUUGCCUGAAUCGCUGAGAGGUGGUGCAUGGCGUAGACGUCU